CAGCCGCCGCGGUAAUACGGAGGGUGCGAGCGUUAAUCGGAAUUACUGGGCGUAAAGCGCACGCAGGCGGUCUGACAAGUCAGAUGUGAAAUCCCCGGGCUUAACCUGGGAACUGCAUUUGAAACUGUCAGGCUGGAGUCUUGUAGAGGGGGGUGGAAUUCCAGGUGUAGCGGUGAAAUGCGUAGAGAUCUGGAGGAAUACCGGUGGCGAAGGCGGCCCCCUGGACAAAGACUGACGCUCAGGUGCGAAAGCGUGGGGAGCAAACAGGAUUAGAUACCCCGUGUAGUCCCUGUCUCUUAUA
RNAcentral lists this ribosomal RNA (301 nucleotides) under uncultured bacterium. Its description in RNAcentral is "partial 16S ribosomal RNA". It matches the Rfam family "Bacterial small subunit ribosomal RNA", at positions 509 to 808 of the family's 1533-position model. The record is from RNAcentral.